This is a long non-coding RNA of Macaca fascicularis (crab-eating macaque), 1759 nucleotides long. The record is from Ensembl. NCBI's taxonomy places the organism in Eukaryota, Metazoa, Chordata, Mammalia, Primates, Cercopithecidae.
AAAAAAAAAACAUUCUUGGCUGGGCACGGUGGCUCAUGCCUGUAAUCCUAGCACUUUGGGAGGGCCGAGGUGGGCAGAUCACCUGAGGUGAGGAGUCCGAGACCAGCCUGACUAUUAUGAAACCCUGUCUCUAAUAAAAAUACAAAAUUAGCUGGACGUGGUAGCACGCACCUGUAAUCCCAGCUACUCGGGAGGCUGAGGCAGGAGAAUCACUUGAAUCCAGGAGGCAGAGGUUGCAGUGAGCUGAGAUCACGCCAUUGCACUGCAGCCUGGGCAACAAGAGCCAAAUUCUAUCUCAAAAACCAAACCAAACCAACACACACACACACACACACACACACACACACACACACACACACACACACACAAAAAUUAAAAACCAUUCUCAAAGACACUGUCACCCCAGGCUUCUUUCCGUGGGCAUGGGGUGGCCGGACCUUGCCUUUUUCAUCUGGGCAAUAGAGUGUUCUUCAGAGAUUGCCCGCAGGAUCGAGAUCCAAACCCCAGGGCUAACCAAGAGAGGUUUCCCACUUCUUUCUUGUGGCCCACACUGACACCCACACCCUGAAGCCAACAGUGAGGUCUGCUCCCUUGAUCACCAAAGGGGAAAGAGGGGACUGGAGAGAGCAGCGGAAUGAAAGUCCUUUCAAGUUCACUGUUGUGACAAACCUGGAGACCAGAAAUAGAAAUAGGGAAGCCUGGCCUUGAUGCGGGCUGACCAGAGGCCACAGGUCUCCCACUUCUUCUUCACAGUGCUGGAGGCUUCACAGGCUUUUCCCAGGGAAGCCCAGUGUCUGUCCUGGAAAGAGACUGGUUCUCAAACCCUUGGAAUGCGGAUCCAGUACCCUAGGCACCUGAUUGUACCUGGUCCCCAGGCAAAGCGUGAGGAUGAUGGGGUCUCCAGGCCCCUGGGAGCUGCACCGCCUUCACACCUGGACACCGACUGCAUCUUUCUUUAGGUUCUCCUCUGUUUCCGUGAGCCACAAGCAGCUGGGCCCUGCAGGAGAUCCCAGCCCACCCAGCCCAACUCUGUCCACCUGGUCUCGCUGUUCUAAGGCUUCCUGGAGAGGGCAGCGUGAAUUUGGAGUGAAGUGUUGCCCAUGCUGCAAGCCCCACUCAGCCUGAGAGAGAAGGAGCCCUGGUUCCCUGAGCCCAGGUCCAAAUGCUGCUAGAGAGGCCCUCAGAUCCUAGGUCUGCUAAAUUGUCACCCGCUCUUCCUCAGCUACCAACAGCAGAAGCCAAGUGGGCAGCUUUACAGAUGUUGAGCUUUUGGUUCCUCAGCAGAUGGCUGCAGUCGGACCUGGGGCCUCCAAACUGCAAUGUACAGUACAUCCAGUGUUUGCCAAGGGAAACCACUGAGGGAGGACUACUUUUUCAUUACAAUAGGGAUGAAGGAAUGAAGAGAUCAAAGGACAGCAAAGACAUGGAAUGGAACUUCAGUGGUAUUUGAGUGUUUAUGAGUCUGUGCAUGAGAGAAGAGGAGAAAGACACUGCAGGUAAAAGGAAAACCUACAGGUUUCUUCUUGUUCCGAGGCAUCUGUGGUUAGAAAAGGACUUUGGUGUUUAUUCUCAAUUUUUCUGAGGUCUCAGCUCAAUUUCCCCAAUCAGUUCAAGCUUAUUAGCAAAGAGCACAACAGUAGGGAGAAGGGGUCUCCAGUGGAGUCUGGAGGAGAUCUUGGAGAACCACUGGACCUGAGGUUUUGCCAAGUUCAAGACAGCGUGUGCACGGAGCUUGAUUGGCAUAUGGAUCUGCCGGUCC